This 30-nucleotide non-coding RNA is filed under the name Homo sapiens (human). The record is from RNAcentral. Lineage: Eukaryota; Metazoa; Chordata; Mammalia; Primates; Hominidae.
CAGGAGAUGUGUGAAGAUUGCUUGUGGCUA